GGGCUCAUAGUUCAGUGGUAGAACGCUGUCCUGAUAAGACAGAGGUCGAAGGUCCGAUUCCUUCUGAGCCCACCA
This 75-nucleotide transfer RNA is filed under the name bacterium. Its description in RNAcentral is "tRNA-Ile". It matches the Rfam family "tRNA". Rfam says of the family: Transfer RNA (tRNA) molecules are approximately 80 nucleotides in length. Their secondary structure includes four short double-helical elements and three loops (D, anti-codon, and T loops). The record is from RNAcentral.